This 264-nucleotide unclassified non-coding RNA is filed under the name fungal sp. RNAcentral's name for it is "partial internal transcribed spacer region". The stretch from base 1 to 46 matches the Rfam family "Eukaryotic small subunit ribosomal RNA", at positions 1786 to 1831 of the family's 1831-position model. The record is from RNAcentral. Lineage: Eukaryota; Fungi.
AAGUCGUAACAAGGUAUCUGUAGGUGAACCUGCAGAUGGAUCAUUAAAGUAAUAAUGAAACACCAACCUUGAGCAUUGACGCAGUUCCGAGUCCAGAGAGUAAUGAUUGAGUUUGGGAGUUUGCCUUGUGUAUAUCACUUUACUCAUGAAGUAUUCUUCUGGCUCGGUACAGCUUAUAUAAAACACUACAUUUUAUUGCUUAGCAUUAAAUUUUAAAGCAAACCAAUUGAAAUACAACCUUUAACAACGGAUCUCUUGGUUCCU